Molecule: ribosomal RNA, 253 nt
Filed under: uncultured bacterium
Lineage: Bacteria
Description: partial 16S ribosomal RNA
Rfam family: Bacterial small subunit ribosomal RNA
Source: RNAcentral
UACAGAGGUCUCAAGCGUUGUUCGGAUUCAUUGGGCGUAAAGGGCGCGUAGGCGGCGGGGUAAGUCGGGUGUGAAAUCUCAGAGCUCAACUCUGAAACUGCACUCGAUACUGCUCUGCUUGAGGACUGGAGAGGAGACUGGAAUUCACGGUGUAGCAGUGAAAUGCGUAGAUAUCGUAAGGAAGACCAGUGGCGAAGGCGGGUCUCUGGGCCGAUACUGACGCUGAGGAGCGAAAGCGUGGGGAGCGAACAGG